UUAGAAUUAGAAAAUUUGAGUUGAAUAGUUGUUGGUUCUAGGUCAACAAUUUUGAGAGUAGCAUUGUUGAUUUCGACGAUCUGAUCGACGGCAUAGGAGUGGCGCGAUCCGACGAUCUGAUCGGCGGCAUAGGAGCGGCGCGCUCAAGGUAGCGGUGGCAUAGGAGCGAGGCGAUGAAGAUAUUCUUCGAAAGAGGUCAAAUCUUCUCAAGAAGCAAAUUAUCCAAGAGGCAGAAUGUGCGAUUUGCAAGACUCCUACAGAAGACACUGACCAUAUCUUUAUAAAUUGCCGUUUCGUGUCUGACUUCUGGGCGAAUAUAUCUUCGCCUGCGAUAGACAUAUACCUGCAACCCCCGCCAGCAUCAAUUCCGAGGAUGCUAAACAAGAGUUUAUUUUUGUUGUGCCUUUGGAGACUUUGGAACCACAGAAACGAAGUCAUCUUCAAAUCUCUGCCACCGUCGCUUCCACGACUGCUAUCAGACUGUGUCCUUGAAGCAAACCUCUGGUCCUAUCGUCUAAAGCCUUCAGAUAGAUAUGUAAUAGGCAACUGGAAAUCUCUUUUUUUAAUUCCUUAAUGUUCUGCCCCCUCCCUUUUUCCUGCCCUUCUUGUUUUAGCCCCCCUCUACUUCCUGUAAUAACUAUUUCCUUUAAUUAAUAAUAUUUUCAGGUGG
Molecule: long non-coding RNA, 670 nt
Organism: Oryza brachyantha (malo sina)
Lineage: Eukaryota; Viridiplantae; Streptophyta; Magnoliopsida; Poales; Poaceae
Exons: 3
Source: RefSeq, a predicted model, not a curated record